This 749-nucleotide small RNA is filed under the name Drosophila pseudoobscura pseudoobscura. RNAcentral's name for it is "GA32988". The record is from RNAcentral. Lineage: Eukaryota; Metazoa; Arthropoda; Insecta; Diptera; Drosophilidae.
GAGCAAACUUUCAUUUGGCUCCGGCUGUCAUAAGUUUAAAUGGGGUCCGGGUCCGCCGGAUGGGUGAUGGGUGGUUCGGUGUUCAAAUUGGAGUCCCCGGAAUGAAUGAAAAAUAUCAAAUUCAGAGUCGGAGCCAUAGCUAUAGCCAUAGCGUGGUUGGCGAAGCGUAGCAAAUAUUUGACCAGCCGAUCCACACACUUAACACUUAACGUGGCCAUAAACAGCACAGAAAGAAAGGGUCGGAGACGCUUGAACCAGGACGAGUAUAACAAAUGCUAAAACAUUGCACAGCGGACUGGACGGGACGGAACGGGACGGGACGGAACGGGACGCGACGGAAAGGAACAGCUUGUGCCAGAUUUGCCUUUUUAAAAAGCGCUCAGGGGCACUCCCAGCCCAUUCCCACUCUGCCCCCCUAUACUUAUACUCUCGGCACAUUUACAAAUGCGCUUUUAACUUAAAUGACAGUCCAAGGGGAAACAAGACAGCAGGCGGGACGGGGGCAAAAAAGGGGGUCCAAAGCUGAAACAGAAACAGAAGCCAGAGCUCCCCCUCUUGGCCAUGAUUCUGGUUCUCCUGCUUCUGGCAUCUUGGCUGCCACUGAGAAAAACGCAUUGCAAUUUUUUACACCCACCCUCUGCCAGCCAAGUGGGAAGUGCCAACCCCCCCUUUGGUAGUACAGCCAUUUGAUGUAAAUAUUGUAUUAGUCGGGGCCAAAGUGUUGAGUAAAUUUAUUGGCAGCCCAUAAA